CGCUAAACAGCUAGCCGAAAGACCCAGCAAAUACCCCCAUAUAAAUACCCCAAAAUAACUUUAAACUUAACAAACAAACCAUUUUUCCCUCCUAGUACGGGCGACAGAAAAGAGACUCACCGAGCAAUAGAUACAGUACCGCAAGGGAAAGCUGAAAAAGAAGUGAAAUAAACCAUCUAAGCCUUAAAAAGCAGAGAUUAAAACUCGUACCUUUUGCAUCAUGAUUUAGCUAGUACAGCCUAAGCAAAGAGCCCUUUAGUUUGGUAACCCGAAACUGGAGCGAGCUACUCCAAGACAGCCUAUAGCAGGGCAAACCCGUCUCUGUGGCAAAAGAGUGGGAAGAGCUUUGAGUAGAGGUGAUAGACCUACCGAGCCCAGUUAUAGCUGGUUUCCUAAGAAAUGGAUAGAAGUUCAGCCCCCCAACUUACCACCCCAUCACAGCCCAACCCAAUUUGGACACAGGUAAAUUGAGGGAGUUAGUCAAAGAAGGUACAGCUCCUUUGAAACAAGACACAACUUUAACAGGAGAUUAAAGAUCAUAAUUAAUAAAGUAAAGUGCUACAGUGGGCCUAAAAGCAGCCACCUUAACAGAAAGCGUUAAAGCUCAAACACAUAUACCAGCCCAAUAUACUGAUAAUUUAUCUAACCCCCCUAACCUUAUUAGGUCCUCUUAUGCAACCAUAUGAGAGACCAUGCUAAUAUGAGUAAUAAGAAGGUAUUAGACCUUCUCCUAGCACACGCGUACAUCGGAACGGACCACCCACCGACCCUUAACCGGCCCCAAACAAAGAGGGUAUUGAACAAUAAAAUAAAAUACUAGAAAAACACUCAAUACUAUGCCGUUACCCCCACACCGGAGUGCAAACAAGGAAAGACUAAAAGAAAAAGAAGGAACUCGGCAAACACAAACCUCGCCUGUUUACCAAAAACAUCGCCUCUUGCAAUUACAACUAUAAGAGGUCCCGCCUGCCCUGUGACUAUAUGUUUAACGGCCGCGGUAUUUUGACCGUGCGAAGGUAGCGCAAUCACUUGUCUUUUAAAUAAAGACCCGUAUGAAUGGCAUAACGAGGGAUUAACUGUCUCCUUUUUCUAGUCAAUGAAAUUGAUCUCCCCGUGCAGAAGCGGGGAUAUAAACAUAAGACGAGAAGACCCUAUGGAGCUUCAGACAUACUAGCAGACCAUACCGAACGCCCUAAACUAAAAGGACUAACUCUUUCUGCCCCCUGCUUAAAUGUUUUUGGUUGGGGCGACCGCGGGGAAAAACAAAACCCCCACGUGGAAUGAGAAAACCCCCUCCCACAACUAAGAGCCACCACCCUAAGUAACAGAAUCUCUGACCAAAGUGAUCCGGCAAUGCCGAUCAACGAACCGAGUUACCCUAGGGAUAACAGCGCAAUCCCCUUCCAGAGCCCAUAUCGACAAGGGGGUUUACGACCUCGAUGUUGGAUCAGGACAUCCUAAUGGUGCAGCCGCUAUUAAGGGUUCGUUUGUUCAACGAUUAAAGUCCUACGUGAUCUGAGUUCAGACCGGAGUAAUCCAGGUCAGUUUCUAUCUAUGAUAUGAUCUUUUCUAGUACGAAAGGACCGAAAAGGAAAGGCCCAUGCUUAAAGUAAGCCUUACCCCCACCUAAUGAAGACAACUAAAUUAGGCAAGAGGGCAUAACCCUUUAGCCAAAAAACAUGGCGU
RNAcentral lists this ribosomal RNA (1686 nucleotides) under Procetichthys kreffti. Its description in RNAcentral is "16S rRNA". It matches the Rfam family "Bacterial large subunit ribosomal RNA". The record is from RNAcentral. Lineage: Eukaryota; Metazoa; Chordata; Actinopteri; Beryciformes; Cetomimidae.